UAGAACAAUAAUUGAUGUUGGCACAAGUGAACUCACACUUCGUGUGGGAGACGAAACAAUCACUCUUCAAGCUCAUAAUUCGAGUAACAAUCAAAAUUGAAGGUGGUGGUAUAAAUCAUCCUACUAAAACUGACCAUGUGCACCUACUUUGCAGGAAAUAGGUUCGAAGAACAUACAUGAGCCAUGUUCAAGAAACAACAAAGGACCAAUAUAUGAAGAACGAAGGCUACAAAUUGAUGAGCUAGAUGAAUGGCGGACACAUAAACCAAAAACACACGAUAAACCAAAACCAUGCC
This 296-nucleotide long non-coding RNA is filed under the name Gossypium barbadense (sea-island cotton). RNAcentral describes it as "long non-coding RNA (GBAR_LNC000432)". The record is from RNAcentral. Lineage: Eukaryota; Viridiplantae; Streptophyta; Magnoliopsida; Malvales; Malvaceae.